RNAcentral lists this ribosomal RNA (458 nucleotides) under uncultured bacterium. RNAcentral's name for it is "bacterial SSU rRNA". It matches the Rfam family "Bacterial small subunit ribosomal RNA", at positions 340 to 786 of the family's 1533-position model. The record is from RNAcentral.
UACGGGAGGCAGCGAGUGGGGAAUAUUGCACAAUGGGCGAAAGCCUGAUGCAGCUAUGCCGCGUGUAUGAAGAAGGCCUUAGGGUUGUAAAGUACUUUCAUCGGGGAGGAAAAAACAAAACUAAUAAUUUUAUUUCUUGACGUUACCCGAAAAAGAAGCACCGGCUAACUCCGUGCCAGCAGCCGCGGUAAUACGGAGGGUGCUAGCGUUAAUCAGAAUUACUGGGCGUAAAGAGCACGUAGGUGGUUUUUUUAAAGUCAGAUGUGAAAUCCCUGGGCUUAACCUAGGAACUGCAUUUUGAAACUGAAAUACUAGAGUAUCGUAGAGGGAGGUAGAAUUCUAGGUGUAGCGGUGAAAUGCGUAGAUAUCUGGAGGAAUACCUGUGGCGAAAGCGGCCUCCUAAACGAAUACUGACACUGAGGUGCGAAAGCGUGGGGAGCAAACGAGGAUUAGAUACC